RNAcentral lists this transfer RNA (71 nucleotides) under Loxodonta africana (African savanna elephant). It matches the Rfam family "tRNA". From Rfam's summary of the family: Transfer RNA (tRNA) molecules are approximately 80 nucleotides in length. Their secondary structure includes four short double-helical elements and three loops (D, anti-codon, and T loops). Lineage: Eukaryota; Metazoa; Chordata; Mammalia; Proboscidea; Elephantidae. The record is from Rfam by way of RNAcentral.
GCAGUGGUAGUUCAGUGGUAGAAUCCUUGCCUUCUAAGCAGGAGACCCAGGUUCAGUUCCCGGCCAAGGCA